GAACGAAAAUUAACCAAGACCCAGGAAACAAAUAUUAACAAAGUGUACAGAGCAAGAGAGAAAAGCAGUAGCAAAGCCCUUAAGAAGAUAAACUCUAUGAGGAUUCUGAAGACGUCCCUUCCACCAUUCUUCGCGAGUUCUCGCUGCUGCAUAUGCUCUCUAGCGAUCCCCAAAUCGUCAAAGGCUGAUGGAUAUGAAACAACAAGAGACUAAUAAGACGGGGAAUUCGGUUUUGUACUUGGUGUUUGAGUACAUGGACACUGAUCUGAACAAGUUCAUUUGGUCUUUUCGUCAAACAGGAGAGAAACAUUCCUCCGCCCACUGUUAAGGUAUUUUCAAUUUGAUUGGUUUUUAUGAUAUGGGUGUUGUUUGAAAUGUUUUUGUAAUUGGUUUUUUAGGGUUUUGAAUUUGUUUGUUUUUUGAUUGAAAUGUUUUCUGAUGGUUUUUUUGAUUAUUGACGUAGAGCUUGAUGUAUCAACUUUGUAAAGGGGUUGCCUUCUGCCACGGUCAUAGUGUAUUGGACAAGUGUAACUAAUAAUUGUUAUUGCCAUUCCCUUGAUGUUUUAUUCUGUAUUGUUUAAUUUUUGGGAUUAUGUGCUUAUGAUUAUUGAUGUAUGUAAUUUAGAGACUUGAAGCCUCAUAAUCUUUUGAUGGACCCUGUAGAAAGGGCUGGCAGUGGCUUGAAACUUAUUGGGUUUGCCAGAGCAGGAUCUAUUGAGAGUGGUGAAAAGACCAAUGACAUGCAUCUCCUGCCUAAUGAGCACGGUUGUCAAGCAAUUACCCACUGACGAAUGUGGAUACCCUAGGCCAGAGUACAUUGCUGCAAGCACCGGGCUAUGAUGACAUUCCCAAGGAGAUACAAGCUGGUGCUGAUGUUAAGAAGGUAACAUCUAAUUUUCCCAGUUUCUUUCUCAGCACAGUCUGAGAACUCUAGCAGAUGGAUACAUUUCUUGUUGUUUCUUGUCAGAUGUGUUAUUUAUAUUUGCUUUUUCUUAUCACUGGUAUCACGUGGCCCAAGCUUUAAAUCAUCUAGCCUUAAUCUUGUAGUCUUACCUUGAUAAUUUUCGACCCUGUCUCACAUUUUAUAAUCUAUGCUAAGCUUUCCUUUCUCAUAAAAGUAAUUGUUCCAAGGCCUGGUUUACUAGAAGCUGUUGAUAUCCAGUCUUGUUGCAAAGGAUCCAGCAAUGAAGGUUAAUUGGAACUUAGAUGGACCAGCUGAAGGUGCUGAUGGCCUGCUAUAAGAAGGAUGAUCACAUGCUAUUAAAGGUCGAUGCGAAGUAGGAGUAUCAUUUUGAAACUAGCUAAGGGUUGCUUGCUAAUGUUGGAUGAUAGUUAAACUAUUCUUCUAGAAGCAGGUGUAGUUAAGUUAAGGGUGGAGGGUAAUGCUGUUGUAAAUUGUUUGGCUUGGUACUGACUAGUUUUUAUUUGAAUGGUUGUGUAAACAGAUUUGUAUUUAACAUUAUGGGCAAUCCAAUUUACAAGCAUUUUCUGUCAUUUUUAUUAGAAAA
Molecule: RNA transcript, 1508 nt
Organism: Daucus carota subsp. sativus
Lineage: Eukaryota; Viridiplantae; Streptophyta; Magnoliopsida; Apiales; Apiaceae
Exons: 4
Source: RefSeq, a predicted model, not a curated record